GGACGGGUGAGUAACACGUAGGCAACCUGCCUGUAAGACUGGGAUAACAUAGGGAAACUUAUGCUAAUACCGGAUAGGGUUUUGCUUCGCCUGAAGCGAAACGGAAAGAUGGCGCAAGCUAUCACUUGCAGAUGGGCCUGCGGCGCAUUAGCUAGUUGGUGAGGUAAUGGCUCACCAAGGCGACGAUGCGUAGCCGACCUGAGAGGGUGACCGGCCACACUGGGACUGAGACACGGCCCAGACUCCUACGGGAGG
RNAcentral lists this ribosomal RNA (255 nucleotides) under Brevibacillus laterosporus. RNAcentral's name for it is "partial 16S ribosomal RNA". It matches the Rfam family "Bacterial small subunit ribosomal RNA", at positions 100 to 348 of the family's 1533-position model. The record is from RNAcentral. Lineage: Bacteria; Bacillati; Bacillota; Bacilli; Caryophanales; Paenibacillaceae.